Molecule: ribosomal RNA, 460 nt
Filed under: uncultured bacterium
Lineage: Bacteria
Description: partial 16S ribosomal RNA
Rfam family: Bacterial small subunit ribosomal RNA
Source: RNAcentral
CCUACGGGAGGCAGCAGUGAGGAAUAUUGGUCAAUGGACGCAAGUCUGAACCAGCCAUGCCGCGUGCAGGAAGACUGCUCUAUGAGUUGUAAACUUCUUUUGUACGAGGGUAAACGCAGACACGUGUACCUUUCUGAAAGUAUCUUAUGAAUCAGGAUCGGCUAACUCCGUGCCAGCAGCCGCGGUAAUACGGAGGAUUCAAGCGUUAUCCGGAUUUAUUGGGUUUAAAGGGUGCGUAGGCGGGCUGAUAAGUUAGAGGUGAAAUCUCGAGGCUCAACUUCGGAAUUGCCUUUGAUACUGUUAGGCGUGAGAGCAGUUGCGGUAGGCGGAAUGCAUGGUGUAGCGGUGAAAUGCUUAGAGAUCAUACAGAACACCGAUUGCGAAGGCAGCUUACCAAGCUGCUACUGACGUUGAGGCACGAAAGCGUGGGGAGCAAACAGGAUUAGAUACCCCAGUAGUC